UACCGGCGGCUCGAGUGGUGACCAUUUUUAUUGGGCUUAAAGCGUUCGUAGCUGGAUUGUUAAGUCUCUUGGGAAAUCUAACGGCUCAACCGUUAGGCGUCUAAGGGAUACUGGCAAUCUAGGGACCGGAAGAGGUGAGAGGUACUCCUGGGGUAGGAGUGAAAUCCUGUAAUCCUAGGGGGACCACCUGUGGCGAAGGCGUCUCACCAGGACGGCUCCGACAGUGAGGGACGAAAGCUGGGGGAGCAAACCGGAUUAGAUACCCGGGUAGUCCCAGCCGUAAACGAUGCGCGUUAGGUGUAUCAGCGACCACGAGUCGCUGAGGUGCCGAAGGGAAACCGUGAAACGUGCCGCCUGGGAAGUACGGUCGCAAGGCUGAAACUUAAAGGAGUUGGCGGGGAGCACCACAACGGGUGGAGCCUGCGGUUU
RNAcentral lists this ribosomal RNA (429 nucleotides) under uncultured archaeon. RNAcentral describes it as "bacterial SSU rRNA". It matches the Rfam family "Archaeal small subunit ribosomal RNA", at positions 474 to 903 of the family's 1478-position model. The record is from RNAcentral.